AUGACCUUACUUGAACAGGAUCUGUUCUAUAGGUUCGUACUUCUGUAUCCUUGAGUUCUAAGGAGACAGGAAAUUAAGUCUGGUUGAUGAACAGUGGUCAAGGGGCUAGAGCCUUGGCUGUCUGACAGGUU
This 131-nucleotide small nucleolar RNA is filed under the name Ipomoea nil (Japanese morning glory). Its description in RNAcentral is "Plant small nucleolar RNA U3". It matches the Rfam family "Plant small nucleolar RNA U3". From Rfam's summary of the family: Small nucleolar RNAs (snoRNAs) are involved in the processing and modification of rRNA in the nucleolus. There are two main classes of snoRNAs: the box C/D class, and the box H/ACA class. Lineage: Eukaryota; Viridiplantae; Streptophyta; Magnoliopsida; Solanales; Convolvulaceae. The record is from Rfam by way of RNAcentral.